UGGGGAAUAUUGGACAAUGGGCGCAAGCCUGAUCCAGCCAUGCCGCGUGAGUGACGAAGGCCUUAGGGUUGUAAAGCUCUUUUGGCGGGGAAGAUAAUGACGGUACCCGCAGAAUAAGCUCCGGCUAACUUCGUGCCAGCAGCCGCGGUAAUACGAAGGGAGCUAGCGUUGUUCGGAAUCACUGGGCGUAAAGCGCACGUAGGUGGGCAGUUAAGUCAGGGGUGAAAGCCCGAGGCUCAACCUCGGAAUUGCCUCUGAUACUGGCUGUCUAGAGUUCGAGAGAGGUGAGUGGAAUUCCUAGUGUAGAGGUGAAAUUCGUAGAUAUUAGGAAGAACACCGGUGGCGAAGGCGGCUCACUGGCUCGAUACUGACGCUGAGGCGCGAAAGCCAGGGGAGCAAACGGGAUUAGAUACCCAGGUAGUCCCUGAGCGGGCUGGCAAGGCGCAU
RNAcentral lists this ribosomal RNA (447 nucleotides) under uncultured bacterium. RNAcentral describes it as "bacterial SSU rRNA". It matches the Rfam family "Bacterial small subunit ribosomal RNA", at positions 355 to 825 of the family's 1533-position model. The record is from RNAcentral.